This 86-nucleotide non-coding RNA is filed under the name marine eukaryotic metagenome. RNAcentral's name for it is "Pyrrolysine insertion sequence mttB". It matches the Rfam family "Pyrrolysine insertion sequence mttB", at positions 5 to 90 of the family's 100-position model. The record is from RNAcentral.
CCGAUAGCAAACUUCCUGAUAAUCAGGCUGGUUAUGAGAAAGCUCUUAAUUUAACACUAGCGGUUCAAACCGGAGCUAAUCUUAUU